Molecule: long non-coding RNA, 531 nt
Organism: Carassius gibelio (silver crucian carp)
Lineage: Eukaryota; Metazoa; Chordata; Actinopteri; Cypriniformes; Cyprinidae
Exons: 2
Source: RefSeq, a predicted model, not a curated record
CGCUUUUUGGCGUACUGUUUCGCGUAAGAAUUGAAAUUUCAACUUUUUUUUAAUAAUUAUUGAUAUUGAGUGUCCAGGGAAUAUUUAUGAAGUGGUUUGGUUCUGAUUGGUUGAAAAUCCUAGGACUAGUUCGCAAAAGUAGGUUUCGGAUAUAGCUCGAUUUUGCGAGAAAACGGUGCGUCGUAGACCCCAAAAAGGCGCCGUGCACUUUUGUUCGGGCUAACCCAAGGAUUGCAACAAUGCCAUGUUUUUGAGUCUACGGCUAACGGUUUACGAUUUACGGCCAAAAAUGUCAAAAAUUUUAGUUUUUUGCGCUGUAGCGCCCCCGUUAGGCCGAUUGGGUCGAGACUCGGUAUCUGACAAGAAGGCCGGACUACUACAUUCUGACCAAAUUUCAGCUUUCUAGGCCUUACGGUUUGGGCUGCACGAACAGUUUGAGUGGAGAAUAAUAAUAAUAAUAAUAAUAAUAAUAAAAAUCCUAACAAAUACAAUAGGGUUUCAGCACUGCGUGCUUGAACCCCUAAUAAUAAU